Lolium rigidum is the source of this 900-nucleotide long non-coding RNA. RefSeq lists it as uncharacterized. The transcript has 9 exons. The record is from RefSeq and is a predicted model, not a curated record. Lineage: Eukaryota; Viridiplantae; Streptophyta; Magnoliopsida; Poales; Poaceae.
CAGCUGCUCAUCGGCCAGAUGUACCACAGUGGCUACGAUGUCAACAAAUGCAGGCGCAAGAUACCUUGCAUACUGCAUACAAAAAGAGGACCAGGAAUAGAGAAGUUGACAUGGAUGCGUACAAUAGAGCGAAAGAAAGUGAUCCGGAGUUAUACCGAGAGGCUUCCAGUCUUUAGUAUGGGAAGGGUAUCUGGGAUGUUGAACAAGACAGCCUAGAUGAAAACGGUUGCUACCUCAAGGUUUAUAUAUUAAUGUUGCUUUCUCGAAGAGAACCAUAUUUGGAGGUGCUAUUGAAUCACUGAUGCUCUGUUUUAGCCCUUGUCAUGGCUCUCUUCAGGAGUGCCCCUGAACAUGCAAGGGCAGCAAGGGAGAAGUGGAGCUGGCCAGGAGGGAGCCAUGGCCAUGGCGGUGUUCGCUGUUGUCCGCCCGGGGCUGCACUGCGUCCUCACAAGCACAGAGUGGAAUCGCGUCGAUGAACAAGUCCGAGCGCAUCGCCAGUCUACUUUGUACAUCGUAGCAAGGUGUUGAUACACAGGUUAUUUCAGAUUAUGUGCGUUAUUUUCUCCACCAACACACUAUUCGUCUUGGGCAACCAGCUACAGUGAAAAUUUCUUCCAACUUAGUUAGGUUUAUGGACUAUCUGAACAAAGCAUGUUGCCAGCUGGAAUGAUAGUUGGUGGAGCCAUGGUGGCCAAAUAUACGCAGCCCCUCUUUGUUGAACUAUUCGGAGGCAACCAUUUGCAAUUGGAGUAUCUGGUUCUUGUUACCUGUAUGGAUUGAUGGAUCAUGAAUGGAGUGAGGUGGUGAUCCAUGAAGAAGCUGAGGUACCUUAGUGAGUUUCUCAUUAGAAACCAGACAUUAGUUGAUCUUUUGCACUGAAAAUGGAGUAACAGGACAUAG